This 310-nucleotide ribosomal RNA is filed under the name uncultured bacterium. Its description in RNAcentral is "partial 16S ribosomal RNA". It matches the Rfam family "Bacterial small subunit ribosomal RNA", at positions 503 to 807 of the family's 1533-position model. The record is from RNAcentral.
AAGAGACAGCAGUAGCCGCGGUAAUACGGAGGGGGCUAGCGUUGUUCGGAAUUACUGGGCGUAAAGCGUAUGUAGGCGGCUUUGUAAGUUAGAGGUGAAAGCCCGGGGCUCAACCCCGGAACUGCCUUUAAGACUGCAUCGCUUGAAUCGUGGAGAGGUGAGUGGAAUUCCGAGUGUAGAGGUGAAAUUCGUAGAUAUUCGGAAGAACACCAGUGGCGAAGGCGGCCAUCUGGGACAACACUGACGCUGAGGCACGAAAGCGUGGGGAGCAAACAGGAUUAGAUACCCCCGUAGUCCCUGUCUCUUAUAC